RNAcentral lists this ribosomal RNA (1608 nucleotides) under Salmonella enterica subsp. enterica serovar Dublin. RNAcentral's name for it is "partial 23S ribosomal RNA". It matches the Rfam family "Bacterial large subunit ribosomal RNA", at positions 1213 to 2802 of the family's 2925-position model. Lineage: Bacteria; Pseudomonadati; Pseudomonadota; Gammaproteobacteria; Enterobacterales; Enterobacteriaceae. The record is from RNAcentral.
GCUUAUGCGUUGUUGGGUAGGGGAGCGUUCUGUAAGCCUGUGAAGGUGUGUCGUGAGGCAUGCUGGAGGUAUCAGAAGUGCGAAUGCUGACAUAAGUAACGAUAAAGCGGGUGAAAAGCCCGCUCGCCGGAAGACCAAGGGUUCCUGUCCAACGUUAAUCGGGGCAGGGUGAGUCGACCCCUAAGGCGAGGCCGAAAGGCGUAGUCGAUGGGAAACGGGUUAAUAUUCCCGUACUUGGUGUUACUGCGAAGGGGGGACGGAGAAGGCUAUGUUGGCCGGGCGACGGUUGUCCCGGUUUAAGCGUGUAGGUGUGUGUUCCAGGUAAAUCCGGUUCACUUUAACACUGAGGCGUGAUGACGAGGCACUACGGUGCUGAAGUAACAAAUGCCCUGCUUCCAGGAAAAGCCUCUAAGCAUCAGGUAACAUCAAAUCGUACCCCAAACCGACACAGGUGGUCAGGUAGAGAAUACCAAGGCGCUUGAGAGAACUCGGGUGAAGGAACUAGGCAAAAUGGUGCCGUAACUUCGGGAGAAGGCACGCUGACACGUAGGUGAAGUGAUUUACUCAUGGAGCUGAAGUCAGUCGAAGAUACCAGCUGGCUGCAACUGUUUAUUAAAAACACAGCACUGUGCAAACACGAAAGUGGACGUAUACGGUGUGACGCCUGCCCGGUGCCGGAAGGUUAAUUGAUGGGGUCAGCGCAAGCGAAGCUCCUGAUCGAAGCCCCGGUAAACGGCGGCCGUAACUAUAACGGUCCUAAGGUAGCGAAAUUCCUUGUCGGGUAAGUUCCGACCUGCACGAAUGGCGUAAUGAUGGCCAGGCUGUCUCCACCCGAGACUCAGUGAAAUUGAACUCGCUGUGAAGAUGCAGUGUACCCGCGGCAAGACGGAAAGACCCCGUGAACCUUUACUAUAGCUUGACACUGAACAUUGAGCCUUGAUGUGUAGGAUAGGUGGGAGGCUUUGAAGUGUGGACGCCAGUCUGCAUGGAGCCGACCUUGAAAUACCACCCUUUAAUGUUUGAUGUUCUAACGUGGACCCGUUACCCGGGUUGCGGACAGUGUCUGGUGGGUAGUUUGACUGGGGCGGUCUCCUCCUAAAGAGUAACGGAGGAGCACGAAGGUUGGCUAAUCCUGGUCGGACAUCAGGAGGUUAGUGCAAUGGCAUAAGCCAGCUUGACUGCGAGCGUGACGGCGCGAGCAGGUGCGAAAGCAGGUCAUAGUGAUCCGGUGGUUCUGAAUGGAAGGGCCAUCGCUCAACGGAUAAAAGGUACUCCGGGGAUAACAGGCUGAUACCGCCCAAGAGUUCAUAUCGACGGCGGUGUUUGGCACCUCGAUGUCGGCUCAUCACAUCCUGGGGCUGAAGUAGGUCCCAAGGGUAUGGCUGUUCGCCAUUUAAAGUGGUACGCGAGCUGGGUUUAGAACGUCGUGAGACAGUUCGGUCCCUAUCUGCCGUGGGCGCUGGAGAACUGAGGGGGGCUGCUCCUAGUACGAGAGGACCGGAGUGGACGCAUCACUGGUGUUCGGGUUGUCAUGCCAAUGGCACUGCCCGGUAGCUAAAUGCGGAAGAGAUAAGUGCUGAAAGCAUCUAAGCACGAAACUUGCCCCGA